CGUUAUGGGCGGAGUCGUGUGGGCACUCGCAAGAGUGGCCGGUUCCAAGACCCGGUAGGCCAACCCGCACGGCUCUGCUCACCCCA
This 86-nucleotide non-coding RNA is filed under the name Nocardioides sp. IMT03. Lineage: Bacteria; Bacillati; Actinomycetota; Actinomycetes; Propionibacteriales; Nocardioidaceae. The record is from RNAcentral.